AUGCUUUCAAAAAUGUGCCGCGCAAGUUCAAGUAUAGCUGCUGCAGGAGUUCAAAAAUCUGAACAGUUUAAGCUCAACCCAAUUUCAAGAACUGUUUCCUUUAUAAAUUGUUUGAAGUUUGUGAUUUUGGCUCAUGGCAAGAGCUCGUUGACGAUGAAGUAUGUGAAGCUUCACCACCAUUCACAACUCCAGUAUGGUCCAGUUCGUCAUGAGGAUCUGGAGCUUCAACUUUUUCAGUUCAUCUUUCAUAUGCUUUUUAGUACAUCUACUUCCUCAUCAAGGAAAUCAGUCCAACAGGCGCAUCUAAAGUGA
This 312-nucleotide ribosomal RNA is filed under the name Triticum aestivum (bread wheat). Its description in RNAcentral is "partial small subunit ribosomal RNA". Lineage: Eukaryota; Viridiplantae; Streptophyta; Magnoliopsida; Poales; Poaceae. The record is from RNAcentral.